This is a non-coding RNA of Bactrocera oleae (olive fruit fly), 2780 nucleotides long. NCBI's taxonomy places the organism in Eukaryota, Metazoa, Arthropoda, Insecta, Diptera, Tephritidae. The record is from RefSeq and is a predicted model, not a curated record.
GAUCAUAUACGUUCUCUGCAUAUACGUUCUCUGAUGUGACAACAGCUUGAUAACUAGACAGAGUUUCCAAAACUACUUUUUAUGUUAGAAGUAGUGGAUUUUAAAUUUAAUAUUUUAAUAAAAAAACAUAGUUUGAUAGACCGUGUAAUAAUUUUGAAAUUUUUGUUUAGCGCGAUACUGUCUUAAAUAAUUUUGCAUUAAUCAGAACAAAAUGCUAAGGGAAUAGAUAUGUACCAAUUGUGGAAAAGUGUCAACCCUGUUCUUCGCUAACUUCGCAGGCCGGUUGGAAACUUCUUCUCACAGUACACAAGAGUCGUCAUUAGCUUAUUACAUAUCGCAGCGACAGCGUGAUUUCGACCAUUCCAAAAACGUGCAUUUGUGAUAGCUUUUAAAAGCGAUUAAUAUUAAGCAAUUAUACUUAAACACUUGUUAAAAAAACACCGGUUGCCAAAAUGAGUGAUGUACGUAAAGCCCUCGCAAUAAAAUUAUACGAAAUCAAUGCUUUCAAAUUCGGCGAUUUCAAGAUGAAAGUGGGCAUUAAUUCACCUGUAUACUUUGAUUUACGCGUAAUUGUUAGCUAUCCAGAAGUGAUGAAAACAGUUUCGGAAUUGAUUGCCGCCCAUAUUAAGGAGCACCAAUUGACGGCGAAACAUGUUUGUGGUGUACCAUAUACAGCUCUUCCAUUGGCCACUUUGGUGUCCGUACAGCAAAGUACCCCCAUGCUGGUGCGACGUAAAGAAGCCAAAGAUUAUGGCACAAAAAAGUUAAUUGAAGGUCUCUAUAAUGCGGGCGACACGUGUCUUAUUGUGGAAGAUGUCGUAACAUCUGGUUCAAGUGUUUUGGACACAGUACGUGAUUUGCAAAGGGAAGGUAUUGUUGUCACCGAUGCUGUCGUAGUUGUUGAUCGUGAGCAAGGUGGAGCGGUGAAUAUUGAAAAGCAGCAGGUGCGCAUGCACUCCUUAUUUACGCUGUCUUUUCUACUUAACACGUUGCAUGAAGCAGGAAAGAUUCAAGGUGACACUGUGGAUGCGGUUGCAAAAUAUAUUGCUGCUUAUCAAAUUAAAGGCGAUGGUUCGUUCGUAAAUCCACAGAGUAAAAUUGUUGCUAAUGAAUUCUCAAGGACUAAACUUUCAUUCGAGCAUCGCGCCACUUUAGCGAAAUCUAAGCUGGCCAAGCAGCUUUUCCAUUUGAUGGCAAGCAAGAAGACUAAUCUUUGCCUGGCCGCUGACCUCACUAAAUCUGAAGAGAUUCUUAAUAUCGCGGAAAUUUGUGGGCCUUAUAUUUGCGUCCUGAAAACGCACAUUGACAUUGUAGAGGAUUUCGAUGAAGCAUUCAUACAGAAGUUACGCAGCUUGGCUGAUAAACACAAUUUCUUAAUAAUGGAAGAUCGUAAAUUUGCCGAUAUUGGAAAUACGGUAUCCCUACAAUAUGGCAAAGGUGUAUAUAAGAUCGCCAAUUGGGCGGAUUUGGUUACAGCCCACGCACUGUCAGGUCGCAGCAUAUUGCAAGGACUUAAAGCCGGUCUUGCUGACAGUGUAUCAGAUGGAAGAAAACAUGGCGUAUUCUUACUUGCCGAAUUAUCUAACACAGGCAGUUUAAUCGAUGCUAAGUAUUCAGAAGCGGCCAGCAAGAUUGCAACUGAAGGUGCGGACAUUGAUUUUGUUGCCGGAGUUGUGUGUCAGUCGGCCAGUUGCUUCCAUUUUCCUGGUUUAGUUCAGCUUACACCUGGUGUAAAAAUCGAUGAUACUGUCGACCAGCUGGGACAGCAAUAUCAAACGCCCGAACAUGUAGUGCAGGAACGUGGUGCCGAUAUCGGUGUUGUAGGACGUGGAAUUUUACAAGCUAAGUGUGUUGAAAAAGCAGCAGUUCUAUACCGUGAUCGCCUUUGGGCAGCAUAUACAGAUCGCAUUGCGAAAUAGGAACAUAGGAUUAUAUUCUAUAUUAAAUACUUUUCGUGUAAUUAUGGCAAGGAUGUGAAAUGAAUGUAUUUGGUUUUGCACUUAUGAUAGUGUAUAAUCGCCAAAAUCAUAAAUCAAUCAUUGGAAUUUAUGUGACAAUAUUAAAAAUUAUGGAGAAUUUUUAAGUAAUUUUUCAUAAAGAGUAAAAGGAGGAGAGUAAAGGGAGAGUCCAAGGAGCAACGUGUGAAUAGUGGCUUAAAGUUGGCAAAGCUUGUAUUUAAAAAUAUGGAUUUAUUCAAAUAAAACACAGGCAGGCUAUUGUACAAAUAGUUUUUGUUCAAUUUAAAGAGAAGCACAAUACAAUGAUAAUAUUACAAUACGUAUCCGAGUUUUAGUUAAUAUGUUUAAAUAAGUUUGUAUGAUGAGUAGAAUUACUUCUCCAUAGGAAAAUUAAUCCACUAGUUAAAUACCAUAUGUUAGACCAAAUUUUAAUACGACGCUAAUGUACUCAAAGCAUGACCAGUAUCCCCAUUCACGUCAUCCUGUAAAGAAUAAAAGAAGAAAAAUGGCAAAUGUACACAUUUUUACAUAAAUUAAAAGCCUGUAUUUAUUUGUUCGUGAAUAAUACUUUAUUUGAUGAAAUCGGUUAUAGCACUUGAAAAUAUAAUUUUCAAAUAUACUAAAUAUAUAUAUAGUAAAAAAGUUGUAAAUAAAAAAUUAAUCCAAACAAUAUCAAAAUGUGAGAUAUUCGCAGAAAAUUUUAAAACAAUACUUUAAAUUUUAACUGUACCUCCGAAAGAAACACAUUUCUUUGCAAAGUCCUUAAUACAAAAGCAAUACAGCACAUAUAAAUACAACAUAUCAUUUUGAAAACUUUUAUAA